This 457-nucleotide ribosomal RNA is filed under the name uncultured bacterium. RNAcentral describes it as "bacterial SSU rRNA". It matches the Rfam family "Bacterial small subunit ribosomal RNA", at positions 29 to 523 of the family's 1533-position model. The record is from RNAcentral.
AACGAACAUUGGCGGCAGGCCUAACACAUGCAAGUCGAGCGAGGCUUCGAGCCGAGCGGCAGACGGGUGCGUACAACAUAGGAACCUUCCUUUCGCUGGAGGAUAACAGUCAGAAAUGACUGCUAAUACUGCAUACGACCGAGGCGCAAGCCCGGUGAAAGCUUUAGCGGCGAAAGAUGGGCCUAUGCCUGAUUAGCUAGUUGGUGAGGUAACGGCUCACCAAGGCAAUGAUCAGUAGCUGGUCUGAGAGGAUGAUCAGCCACACUGGAACUGAGACACGGUCCAGACUCCUACGGAGGCAGCAGUGGGGAAUAUUGGACAAUGGGCGAAAGCCUGAUCCAGCAAUGCCGCGUGAGUGAUGAAGGCCCUAGGGUUGUAAAGCUCUUUUACCAGGGAUGAUAAUGACAGUACCUGGAGAAUAAAGCUCCGGCUAACUCCGUGCCAGCAGCCGCGGUAA